Molecule: ribosomal RNA, 273 nt
Filed under: uncultured bacterium
Lineage: Bacteria
Description: partial 16S ribosomal RNA
Rfam family: Bacterial small subunit ribosomal RNA
Source: RNAcentral
UACGAAGGGGGCUAGCGUUGUUCGGAUUUACUGGGCGUAAAGCGCGUGUAGGCGGGCCGGUAAGUUGGGGGUGAAAUCCCGAGGCUCAACCUCGGAACUGCCUCCAAGACUGUCGGCCUGGAGCAAGAUAGAGGCGAGUGGAAUUGCGAGUGUAGAGGUGAAAUUCGUAGAUAUUCGCAGGAACACCAGUGGCGAAGGCGACUCGCUGGAUCUUUGCUGACGCUGAGACGCGAAAGCGUGGGGAGCAAACAGGAUUAGAAACCCCCGUAGUCC